UUCUUCUUCCAUUUCCUCCCUUUCUCGAUUCUUAUCUGAGACACGAAGUAUCAUCGACAAAUGCUUUCGCAAACGCUUCCGAUUUAUCCCCUGAAUCUGGUUCCCGAGUUGAAAUCGAGCAUUAACUCUGAAAUCCACAGGAAAAGACUCUCAUCACCUAACAAUCCAGAUUUUUUCUUCGCUCUAUUUUCACUUGUUCCCAAUUCCUUUUCCUUGGCUUCAGACAAAAUCCUUGAGUUCACAUUGUUUUUUUUUCUUUUGUCUUUAUUUUUUCU
Molecule: long non-coding RNA, 275 nt
Filed under: Eutrema salsugineum
Lineage: Eukaryota; Viridiplantae; Streptophyta; Magnoliopsida; Brassicales; Brassicaceae
Description: long non-coding RNA (ESAL_LNC001160)
Source: RNAcentral